This 463-nucleotide ribosomal RNA is filed under the name uncultured Acidobacteriota bacterium. Its description in RNAcentral is "bacterial SSU rRNA". It matches the Rfam family "Bacterial small subunit ribosomal RNA", at positions 224 to 704 of the family's 1533-position model. Lineage: Bacteria; Pseudomonadati; Acidobacteriota. The record is from RNAcentral.
GAGGAGCCCGCGGCCGAUUAGCUGGUUGGGAGGGUAAAAGCCUACCAAGGCAAAGAUCGGUAGCCGGCCUGAGAGGGCACACGGCCACACUGGCACUGAAACACGGGCCAGACUCCUACGGGAGGCAGCAGUGGGGAAUCUUGCACAAUGGGGGAAACCCUGAUGCAGCGACGCCGCGUGAGCGAUGAAGCCCUUCGGGGUGUAAAGCUCUUUCGGCAGGGACGAUCAUGACGGUACCUGCAGAAGCAGCUGCGGCUAACUACGUGCCAGCAGCCGCGGUAAUACGUAGGCAGCGAGCGUUGUUCGGAGUUACUGGGCGUAAAGGGUGUGUAGGCGGUUUUCUAAGUUUGGUGUGAAAUCUCCCGGCUCAACCGGGAGGGUGCGCCGAAAACUGGGAGACUAGAGUGCGGGAUGGGAGAGUAGAAUUCCUGGUGUAGCGGUGAAAUGCGUAGAUAUCAGGAGG